GAUGAACGCUAGCUACAGGCUUAACACAUGCAAGUCGAGGGGAAACGAUAGAGAAAGCUUGCUUUUUCUAGGCGUCGACCGGCGCACGGGUGAGUAACGCGUAUCCAACCUGCCCACCACUUGGGGAUAACCUUGCGAAAGUAAGACUAAUACCCAAUGACGUCUCUAGAAGACAUCUGAAAGAGAUUAAAGAUUUAUCGGUGAUGGAUGGGGAUGCGUCUGAUUAGCUUGUUGGCGGGGGAACGGCCCACCAAGGCGACGAUCAGUAGGGGUUCUGAGACGAAGGUCCCCCACAUUGGAACUGAGACACGGUCCAAACUCCUACGGGAGGCAGCAGUGAGGAAUAUUGGUCAAUGGACGAGAGUCUGAACCAGCCAAGUAGCGUGCAGGAUGACGGCCCUAUGGGUUGUAAACUGCUUUUAUAAGGGAAUAAAGUGAGAGUCGUGACUCUUUUUGCAUGUACCUUAUGAAUAAGGACCGGCUAAUUCCGUGCCAGCAGCCGCCGUAA
Molecule: ribosomal RNA, 508 nt
Filed under: uncultured bacterium
Lineage: Bacteria
Description: partial 16S ribosomal RNA
Rfam family: Bacterial small subunit ribosomal RNA
Source: RNAcentral